This 511-nucleotide ribosomal RNA is filed under the name uncultured Planctomycetota bacterium. Its description in RNAcentral is "bacterial SSU rRNA". It matches the Rfam family "Bacterial small subunit ribosomal RNA", at positions 355 to 871 of the family's 1533-position model. Lineage: Bacteria; Pseudomonadati; Planctomycetota. The record is from RNAcentral.
UCGAGGAUCUUCGGCAAUGGGCGCAAGCCUGACCGAGCGACGCCGCGUGCGCGAUGAAGGCCUUCGGGUUGUAAAGCGCUGUCGAGGGGGAGGAAAGCCCGCAAGGGCCUGACCUAUCCCUGGAGGAAGCACGGGCUAAGUUCGUGCCAGCAGCCGCGGUAAGACGAACCGUGCGAACGUUGUUCGGAAUCACUGGGCUUAAAGGGCGCGUAGGCGGAUCGGCAAGUCGGGGGUGAAAUCUUUCGGCCCAACCGGAAAAGGGCCUCCGAUACUGCCGACCUCGAGGGAGGUAGGGGUCGAUGGAACUUCCGGUGGAGCGGUGAAAUGCGUAGAUAUCGGAAGGAACGCCGGUGGCGAAAGCGAUCGACUGGACCUCUUCUGACGCUGAGGCGCGAAAGCCAGGGGAGCGAACGGGAUUAGAUACCCCGGGUAGUCCUGGCCCUAAACGAUGGGCACCGGAUUGUGGACUUGACAUGGGUUCACAGUCGAGGCAAAAGUGUUAAGUGCCCCG